UAAAAAGCGUUGAUGGAAAAGAGUAAUCUUUUUGGAUCUUAAAAGGGAAUGUCUGUCGUUGACUGGAAGCAGACUAAGAAAAGAAAAGAUGAAGUUCACUUCUGGAGCUUGUCGAAAGACCGGCAUAGCCGUUAAAAAGUGAGAGCGUCAAUUUAUUCAGUUGGCGAAUUAGGAUGGUAACGCGAGACCUCGUUCCUUUA
RNAcentral lists this non-coding RNA (200 nucleotides) under Enterococcus sp. RNAcentral's name for it is "T-box sequence". It matches the Rfam family "T-box leader". Rfam says of the family: Uncharged tRNA acts as the effector for transcription antitermination of genes in the T-box leader family. T-boxes are found upstream of many aminoacyl-tRNA synthetase genes and some amino acid biosynthetic genes usually in Gram-positive bacteria. The anticodon of a specific tRNA base pairs to a specifier sequence within the T-box motif, and the NCCA acceptor tail of the tRNA base pairs to a conserved bulge in the T-box antiterminator hairpin. The record is from RNAcentral. Lineage: Bacteria; Bacillati; Bacillota; Bacilli; Lactobacillales; Enterococcaceae.